AUUGAACGCUGGCGGCACGCCUAACACAUGCAAGUCGAGCGGUAGCAUGAUAAGUAGCAAUACUUAUUGAUGACGAGCGGCGGACGGGUGAGGAACACGUAGGAACUUGCCCAGAAGAGGGGGAUAACCAAGGGAAACUUUGGCUAAUACCGCAUACACUCGGAAGAGGAAAGUUAUUUAGAGUGAUCUAGAUGACGCUUUUGGAGAGGCCUGCGUCCGAUUAGCUAGUUGGUGAGGUAAUAGCUCACCAAGGCGAUGAUCGGUAACUGGUCUGAGAGGACGGCCAGUCACACUGGGACUGAGACACGGCCCAGACUCCUACGGGAGGCAG
Molecule: ribosomal RNA, 331 nt
Filed under: uncultured Pseudomonadota bacterium
Lineage: Bacteria; Pseudomonadati; Pseudomonadota
Description: bacterial SSU rRNA
Rfam family: Bacterial small subunit ribosomal RNA
Source: RNAcentral